Molecule: ribosomal RNA, 849 nt
Filed under: Peniophora duplex
Lineage: Eukaryota; Fungi; Basidiomycota; Agaricomycetes; Russulales; Peniophoraceae
Description: partial large subunit ribosomal RNA
Rfam family: Eukaryotic large subunit ribosomal RNA
Source: RNAcentral
CAAUAAGCGGAGGAAAAGAAACUAACAAGGAUUCCCCUAGUAACUGCGAGUGAAGCGGGAUGAGCUCAAAUUUAAAAUCUGGCGUCUUCGGCGUCCGAGUUGUAAUUUAGAGAAGUGUUUUCCGCGCCGGACCGUGUACAAGUCUCCUGGAACGGAGCGUCAUAGAGGGUGAGAAUCCCGUCUUUGACACGGACCCCCGGUGCUCUGUGAUACGCUCUCGAAGAGUCGAGUUGUUUGGGAAUGCAGCUCAAAAUGGGUGGUGAACUCCAUCUAAAGCUAAAUAUUGGCGAGAGACCGAUAGCGAACAAGUACCGUGAGGGAAAGAUGAAAAGCACUUUGGAAAGAGAGUGAAACAGUACGUGAAAUUGUUGAAAGGGAAACGCUUGAAGUCAGUCGCGUCCGCCGGAGCUCAGCCGCAAGGUGUACUCUCUGGUGGACGGGCCAGCAUCACUUUCGAUCAUCGGAAAAGGGUGAGGGGAAUGUGGCACCUCCGGGUGUGUUAUAGCCCCUUGUCGUAUACGGUGACCGGGAGUGAGGACCGCCUUUUGUAGGAUGCUGGCGUAAUGGCUUUAAACGACCCGUCUUGAAACACGGACCAAGGAGUCUAACAUGCCCGCGAGUGUUCGGGUGGAAAACCCGUGCGCGUAAUGAAAGUGAAAGUUGGGAAGGCUGUCGCGGCCUGCACCGACGCCCGGACUUGAGAUUUAUCGAAGGUUCUGCGGUAGAGCGUGUAUGUUGGGACCCGAAAGAUGGUGAACUAUGCCUGAAUAGGGUGAAGCCAGAGGAAACUCUGGUGGAGGCUCGUAGCGAUUCUGACGUGCAAAUCGAUCGUCAAAUUUGGGUAUAGGG